UAGGGAAUCUUCGGCAAUGGACGAAAGUCUGACCGAGCAACGCCGCGUGAGUGAAGAAGGUUUUCGGAUCGUAAAACUCUGUUGUUAGAGAAGAACAAGGACGUUAGUAACUGAACGUCCCCUGACGGUAUCUAACCAGAAAGCCACGGCUAACUACGUGCCAGCAGCCGCGGUAAUACGUAGGUGGCAAGCGUUGUCCGGAUUUAUUGGGCGUAAAGCGAGCGCAGGCGGUUUCUUAAGUCUGAUGUGAAAGCCCCCGGCUCAACCGGGGAGGGUCAUUGGAAACUGGGAGACUUGAGUGCAGAAGAGGAGAGUGGAAUUCCAUGUGUAGCGGUGAAUUGCGUAGAUAUAUGGAGGAACACCAGUGGCGAAGGCGGCUCUCUGGUCUGUAACUGACGCUGAGGCUCGAAAGCGUGGGGAGCAAACAGG
Molecule: ribosomal RNA, 429 nt
Filed under: Gemmatimonadota bacterium
Lineage: Bacteria; Pseudomonadati; Gemmatimonadota
Description: Gemmatimonadetes bacterium partial 16S ribosomal RNA
Rfam family: Bacterial small subunit ribosomal RNA
Source: RNAcentral